This 274-nucleotide ribosomal RNA is filed under the name uncultured bacterium. Its description in RNAcentral is "partial 16S ribosomal RNA". It matches the Rfam family "Bacterial small subunit ribosomal RNA", at positions 523 to 796 of the family's 1533-position model. The record is from RNAcentral.
AUACGGAGGGUGCAAGCGUUACUCGGAAUCACUGGGCGUAAAGCGCACGCAGGCGGCUAUUUAAGUUGGAUGUGAAAGCCUACGGCUCAACCGUAGAACUGCAUCCAAAACUAUUUAGCUAGAGUGUGGGAGAGGAAGAUGGAAUUAGUUGUGUAGGGGUAAAAUCCGUAGAGAUAACUAGGAAUACCAAAAGCGAAGGCAAUCUUCUGGAACACUACUGACGCUGAGGCGCGAAAGCGUGGGGAGCAAACAGGAUUAGAAACCCCAGUAGUCC